UUACGGCCAUAUCGGUUGUGAAUACCGAUUACCGAAGUUAAGCAACGUUGAGCCUGGUCAGUACCUAGAUGGGUGACCGCUUGGGAAUACCAAGUGCAGU
Acanthosepion pharaonis is the source of this 100-nucleotide non-coding RNA. The record is from the annotation of a GenBank genome assembly. Lineage: Eukaryota; Metazoa; Mollusca; Cephalopoda; Sepiida; Sepiidae.